Molecule: ribosomal RNA, 253 nt
Filed under: uncultured bacterium
Lineage: Bacteria
Description: partial 16S ribosomal RNA
Rfam family: Bacterial small subunit ribosomal RNA
Source: RNAcentral
UACGAAGGGGGCUAGCGUUGCUCGGAAUCACUGGGCGUAAAGGGUGCGUAGGCGGGUUUUUAAGUCAGGGGUGAAAUCCUGGAGCUCAACUCCAGAACUGCCUUUGAUACUGAAGAUCUUGAGUUCGGGAGAGGUGAGUGGAACUGCGAGUGUAGAGGUGAAAUUCGUAGAUAUUCGCAAGAACACCUGUGGCGAAGGCGGCUCACUGGCCCGAUACUGACGCUGAGGCACGAAAGCGUGGGGAGCAAACAGG